RNAcentral lists this unclassified non-coding RNA (443 nucleotides) under Hevea brasiliensis (rubber tree). The record is from RNAcentral. Lineage: Eukaryota; Viridiplantae; Streptophyta; Magnoliopsida; Malpighiales; Euphorbiaceae.
UUUCAUUUCAUUUACCUCUUAGGAAAGCAACCAUUCUCUCCAUCUUAGCCACAGCUCUCUCAUCUUCCGGGUCAGACAGAUGAAAUGCAUGAUCCAUACCUUCAUCCUCUACAAGCUCCGCCUCCCCUUCCCACCCGCAACUCACCAACGCCUCGUAGUACGCGUGCCCCCUUGCCUUCAGGAAAUCCUUUCCCGCCACAAACACCACCACCCGCCUGCUCGGCAGACUCUUCAAUGGCGGCGCCGCUGCCGCCAGCGGGUUUACGAGAGGAUCAUCCAUCCCUUCCGUUGAGGGGCAAGACGUCCUCCAUACCCUCUCCACUAACUCCCUAAUCGAUGGAUCCGUCGUCUCCCCCCGUACUGGCUCUGUUCCCCAGAAAUACGGGUGCACCAGAGCCAGCCCUUCCAUAUUCACGUCGCCGCCGGCGUGGAGUGCAACGUGG